This 77-nucleotide transfer RNA is filed under the name Pseudomonadota bacterium. Its description in RNAcentral is "tRNA-Pro". It matches the Rfam family "tRNA". From Rfam's summary of the family: Transfer RNA (tRNA) molecules are approximately 80 nucleotides in length. Their secondary structure includes four short double-helical elements and three loops (D, anti-codon, and T loops). Lineage: Bacteria; Pseudomonadati; Pseudomonadota. RNAcentral also lists the same sequence under 4 other names. The record is from RNAcentral.
CGGGCCGUAGCACAGCUUGGUAGUGCGCUUGAAUGGGGUUCAAGAGGUCGUGGGUUCGAAUCCCGCCGGCCCGACCA